This 370-nucleotide unclassified non-coding RNA is filed under the name uncultured fungus. RNAcentral's name for it is "partial contains small subunit ribosomal RNA, internal transcribed spacer 1, and 5.8S ribosomal RNA". The stretch from base 1 to 73 matches the Rfam family "Eukaryotic small subunit ribosomal RNA", at positions 1759 to 1831 of the family's 1831-position model. Lineage: Eukaryota; Fungi. The record is from RNAcentral.
GCAAACUUGGUCAUUUAGAGGAAGUAAAAGUCGUAACAAGGUUUCCGUAGGUGAACCUGCGGAAGGAUCAUUACUGAAUGUUGCCUCGAUGGGUUGUUGCUGGCUUUGAAAAACUCAGAGCAUGUGCACGCCUGUCUUGACUUCUAUUCAUCCACCUGUGCACCUUUUGUAGUCUUUUUUGGUGGCCUGGAGAAGCAGGUGCAGCUCAGCUGUGCUUGUGAUAACCUUCCCACUGAGGGCUAUGUCUUUUCACAAUUAUACCACCUAGAAUGUAACAGAAUGUUGUCAAUGGGCACUUGUGGCCUAUAUAAAAAUCUAUACAACUUUCAGCAACGGAUCUCUUGGCUCUCGCAUCGAUGAAGAACGCAGC